RNAcentral lists this ribosomal RNA (202 nucleotides) under Alexandrium margalefii. RNAcentral describes it as "partial Bacterial large subunit ribosomal RNA". It matches the Rfam family "Bacterial large subunit ribosomal RNA", at positions 2583 to 2784 of the family's 2925-position model. Lineage: Eukaryota; Dinophyceae; Gonyaulacales; Pyrocystaceae. The record is from RNAcentral.
GCCAAUUAAAGCGGUACGUGAGCUGGGUUUAGAACGUCGUGAGACAGUUCGGUCCCUAUCUGCCGUGGGUGUACGAGACUUGAGAGGAGCUGUCCCUAGUACGAGAGGACCGGGAUGGACGAACCUCUGGUGGACCUGUUGUGGCGCCAGCCGCAUUGCAGGGUAGCUAUGUGUGGACUAGAUAACCGCUGAAAGCAUCUAA